Molecule: ribosomal RNA, 507 nt
Filed under: uncultured bacterium
Lineage: Bacteria
Description: bacterial LSU rRNA
Rfam family: Bacterial large subunit ribosomal RNA
Source: RNAcentral
GAUGAGGUGUGGAUAGGAGUGAAAGGCUAAUCAAGUCCGGAGAUAGCUGGUUCUCCUCGAAAGCUAUUUAGGUAGCGCCUCGUGUAUCACUCUUGGGGGUAGAGCACUGUUAUGGCUAGGGGGUCCCCAGGGACUUACCAAACCAUUGCAAACUCCGAAUACCAAGAAGUGCAAUCACGGGAGACACACGGCGGGUGAUAAGGUUCGUCGUGGAAAGGGAAACAGCCCAGACCGCCAGCUAAGGUCCCAAAAUCACAGCUCAGUGGUGAACGAUGUGGGAAGGCUAAGACAGCCAGGAGGUUGGGCUUAGAAGCAGCCAUCCUUUAAAGAAAGCGUAAUAGCUCACUGGUCGAGUCGGCCUGCGCGGAAGAUGUAACGGGGCUAAGCUGUGUACCGAAGCUGCGGAUGCAGAGCAAUCUGCGUGGUAGAGGAGCGUUCUGUAAGCCUGCGAAGGUGAGUUGUAAAGCUUGCUGGAGGUAUCAGAAGUGCGAAUGCUGACAUGAGUAG